This 76-nucleotide transfer RNA is filed under the name Sulfurospirillum sp. Its description in RNAcentral is "tRNA-Lys". It matches the Rfam family "tRNA". Rfam says of the family: Transfer RNA (tRNA) molecules are approximately 80 nucleotides in length. Their secondary structure includes four short double-helical elements and three loops (D, anti-codon, and T loops). Lineage: Bacteria; Pseudomonadati; Campylobacterota; Epsilonproteobacteria; Campylobacterales; Sulfurospirillaceae. The record is from RNAcentral.
GUCUUGUUAGCUCAGCUGGUAGAGCAGUUCCCUUUUAAGGAAUUGGCCGUUGGUUCGAAUCCAACACAGGACACCA